GGUGGCUAAGUGUGGUAGAGUGCUUGCCUUGCAUGCAUGAGGCCCUGGGUUCGAUUCCUCAGCACCA
Molecule: transfer RNA, 67 nt
Filed under: Dipodomys ordii (Ord's kangaroo rat)
Lineage: Eukaryota; Metazoa; Chordata; Mammalia; Rodentia; Heteromyidae
Rfam family: tRNA
About the family: Transfer RNA (tRNA) molecules are approximately 80 nucleotides in length.
Source: Rfam by way of RNAcentral